CAUCAGACAUGUACAUUAAUUAAGAUUUUACAUACCGUCGUCGGCAGACCUUCUAAAAUAGAAAGUCUUUUUAUAUAUAUAUAUAAAAAGACAGAUCAAGGUGUAGACAAUAUUAAUGCCUAAGCGAGUUACUAUAAGAAUUUAUUUCAAUUAUAGUAUUUAAUACUAAAAAUUGCCGGACUUAAAAGUAAUAAAUAA
Molecule: ribosomal RNA, 198 nt
Filed under: Cornu insolidum
Lineage: Eukaryota; Metazoa; Mollusca; Gastropoda; Stylommatophora; Helicidae
Description: Erctella insolida partial 12S ribosomal RNA
Source: RNAcentral